RNAcentral lists this unclassified non-coding RNA (268 nucleotides) under Chaetothyriales sp. Its description in RNAcentral is "partial contains 5.8S ribosomal RNA, internal transcribed spacer 2, and large subunit ribosomal RNA". Lineage: Eukaryota; Fungi; Ascomycota; Eurotiomycetes; Chaetothyriales. The record is from RNAcentral.
CGCACAUUGCGGCCUUUGGUAUUCCGAAGGCCAUGCCUGUUCGAGCGUCAUUAUCACCCCUCAAGCCCCGUGCUUGGUGUUGGACGGCUUGGUCGCGCCUGCGACCCCUCCUAAAGACAACGACGGCGGCCUGUGGUUCCCCCGGUACAUUGAGUGUAUUCGCACACGUAUCGGACAAGGGCGCCCGGGUCCCGGUCCCCUCCCCCCCCGCGGGGACAUUUUUAUCUAGGUUGACCUCGGAUCAGGUAGGGAUACGCGCUGAACUUAA